RNAcentral lists this ribosomal RNA (365 nucleotides) under uncultured Ehrlichia sp. RNAcentral describes it as "bacterial SSU rRNA". It matches the Rfam family "Bacterial small subunit ribosomal RNA", at positions 74 to 454 of the family's 1533-position model. The record is from RNAcentral. Lineage: Bacteria; Pseudomonadati; Pseudomonadota; Alphaproteobacteria; Rickettsiales; Anaplasmataceae.
CCUCUGGCUAUAGGAAAUUGUUAGUGGCAGACGGGUGAGUAAUGCGUAGGAAUCUACCUAGUAGUACGGAAUAGCCAUUAGAAAUGGUGGGUAAUACUGUAUAAUCCCCGAGGGGGAAAGAUUUAUCGCUAUUAGAUGAGCCUACGUUAGAUUAGCUAGUUGGUGAGGUAAUGGCUUACCAAGGCUAUGAUCUAUAGCUGGUCUGAGAGGACGAUCAGCCACACUGGAACUGAGAUACGGUCCAGACUCCUACGGGAGGCAGCAGUGGGGAAUAUUGGACAAUGGGCGAAAGCCUGAUCCAGCUAUGCCGCGUGAGUGAAGAAGGCCUUCGGGUUGUAAAACUCUUUCAAUAGGGAAGAUAAUGA